This 657-nucleotide ribosomal RNA is filed under the name Klebsiella pneumoniae subsp. pneumoniae KPNIH23. RNAcentral describes it as "bacterial SSU rRNA". It matches the Rfam family "Bacterial small subunit ribosomal RNA", at positions 1 to 648 of the family's 1533-position model. The record is from RNAcentral. Lineage: Bacteria; Pseudomonadati; Pseudomonadota; Gammaproteobacteria; Enterobacterales; Enterobacteriaceae.
ACUUAAAUUGAAGAGUUUGAUCAUGGCUCAGAUUGAACGCUGGCGGCAGGCCUAACACAUGCAAGUCGAGCGGUAGCACAGAGAGCUUGCUCUCGGGUGACGAGCGGCGGACGGGUGAGUAAUGUCUGGGAAACUGCCUGAUGGAGGGGGAUAACUACUGGAAACGGUAGCUAAUACCGCAUAACGUCGCAAGACCAAAGUGGGGGACCUUCGGGCCUCAUGCCAUCAGAUGUGCCCAGAUGGGAUUAGCUAGUAGGUGGGGUAACGGCUCACCUAGGCGACGAUCCCUAGCUGGUCUGAGAGGAUGACCAGCCACACUGGAACUGAGACACGGUCCAGACUCCUACGGGAGGCAGCAGUGGGGAAUAUUGCACAAUGGGCGCAAGCCUGAUGCAGCCAUGCCGCGUGUGUGAAGAAGGCCUUCGGGUUGUAAAGCACUUUCAGCGGGGAGGAAGGCGUAAGGUUAAUAACCUUCGAUUGACGUUACCCGCAGAAGAAGCACCGGCUAACUCCGUGCCAGCAGCCGCGGUAAUACGGAGGGUGCAAGCGUUAAUCGGAAUUACUGGGCGUAAAGCGCACGCAGGCGGUCUGUCAAGUCGGAUGUGAAAUCCCCGGGCUCAACCUGGGAACUGCAUUCGAAACUGGCAGGCUAGAGUC